Molecule: ribosomal RNA, 244 nt
Filed under: uncultured bacterium
Lineage: Bacteria
Description: partial 16S ribosomal RNA
Rfam family: Bacterial small subunit ribosomal RNA
Source: RNAcentral
UAACGCGUGAGGAACCUGCCUUUCAGAGGGGGGACAACAGUUGGAAACGACUGCUAAUACCGCAUAACACAUAGGUGUCGCAUGGCAUUUAUGUCAAAGAUUUAUCGCUGAAAGAUGGCCUCGCGUCUGAUUAGCUAGUUGGUGAGGUAACGGCUCACCAAGGCGACGAUCAGUAGCCGGACUGAGAGGUUGGCCGGCCACAUUGGGACUGAGAUACGGCCCAGACUCCUACGGGAGGCAGCAG